GUGGAGUGAGGAGGAGGAGGAGGGCUGCUGAAAAUAAAGAAGAAUAAGAGAGGGAGGGAGAUGAGAGAGAGGUGUGCAUGUGCUUGUGAGCUUAAAGUGUGGAGGAAUGAGUUGGCUAGUUAGAUUAGCUUUUUAGGGGCUCUUUAAUGGUGCAUGUGAUUUCCAUUGAUGGGAAAGAGAAGAAUAAUGUGGGAGAGUGGGGAGGGAGCUAGUGCUGCGUAAGGGUGAGAGAGUGAGAGAGAAAGAGUGAGAGAGAUUGAGAGAGAUAGAGAGAGUGAGAGAGAAAGAGAGAUAGGUGUGUAUAUAUAUAUAUAUAUAUCUA
This 322-nucleotide long non-coding RNA is filed under the name Salvia miltiorrhiza (redroot sage). RNAcentral describes it as "long non-coding RNA (SMIL_LNC014374)". Lineage: Eukaryota; Viridiplantae; Streptophyta; Magnoliopsida; Lamiales; Lamiaceae. The record is from RNAcentral.